UUACCACUCUGGCCUUUUGGCUUAGAUCAAGUGUAGUAUCUGUUCUUAAUAGGUGAGCCAUUAGGCGCGGGUUCGAGCCCUCCAGCGAUCGUUUUACUUACCUUUCUUUCUCGCAGUUUAACCACUAUUAUGGAGGCACCGCCUCCAUUCUUGGUUAUCUUAUUUUUGCCGCCCUUGCUCCCUGUCCUCUGCUUGCACGACGGGGACGUGAUGACCUUGCCGCUGCACUACUGGCUUGUGUCGUCGGGGGAUC
This 253-nucleotide small nuclear RNA is filed under the name Plicaturopsis crispa FD-325 SS-3. RNAcentral's name for it is "U2 spliceosomal RNA". It matches the Rfam family "U2 spliceosomal RNA". From Rfam's summary of the family: U2 is a small nuclear RNA (snRNA) component of the spliceosome (involved in pre-mRNA splicing). Complementary binding between U2 snRNA (in an area lying towards the 5' end but 3' to hairpin I) and the branchpoint sequence (BPS) of the intron results the bulging out of an unpaired adenosine, on the BPS, which initiates a nucleophilic attack at the intronic 5' splice site, thus starting the first of two transesterification reactions that mediate splicing. The record is from Rfam by way of RNAcentral. Lineage: Eukaryota; Fungi; Basidiomycota; Agaricomycetes; Amylocorticiales; Amylocorticiaceae.